AGUGAACGCUGGCGGUAGGCCUAACACAUGCAAGUCGAACGGCAGCACAGUAAGAGCUUGCUCUUACGGGUGGCGAGUGGCGGACGGGUGAGGAAUACAUCGGAAUCUACUUUUUCGUGGGGGAUAACGUAGGGAAACUUACGCUAAUACCGCAUACGACCUACGGGUGAAAGCAGGGGAUCUUCGGACCUUGCGCGAUUGAAUGAGCCGAUGUCGGAUUAGCUAGUUGGCGGGGUAAAGGCCCAGCAAGGCGACGAUCCGUAGCUGGUCUGAGUGGAUGGUAAGCCACACUGGAACUGAGACACGGUCCAGACUCCUACGGGAGGCAGCAGUGGGGAAUAUUGGACAAUGGGCGCAAGCCUGAUCCAGCCAUACCGAGUGGGUGAAGAAGGCCUUCGGGUUGUAAAGCCCUUUUGUUGGGAAAGAAAAGCAGCAGGUUAAUACCCCGCUGUUCUGACGGUACCCAAAGAAUAAGCACCGGCUAACUUCGUG
RNAcentral lists this ribosomal RNA (492 nucleotides) under uncultured bacterium. Its description in RNAcentral is "partial 16S ribosomal RNA". It matches the Rfam family "Bacterial small subunit ribosomal RNA", at positions 29 to 507 of the family's 1533-position model. The record is from RNAcentral.